This 434-nucleotide ribosomal RNA is filed under the name uncultured bacterium. RNAcentral describes it as "bacterial SSU rRNA". It matches the Rfam family "Bacterial small subunit ribosomal RNA", at positions 355 to 787 of the family's 1533-position model. The record is from RNAcentral.
GGAUGAAUAUUGGUCAAUGGGCGGGAGCCUGAACCAGCCAAGCCGCGUGAGGGAGGAAGGCCCUAUGGGUCGUAAACCUCUUUUGUCAGGGAACAAAAGCGAGUAUGUAUACUAGUCUGAGUGUACCUGAAGAAAAAAGCAUCGGCUAACUCCGUGCCAGCAGCCGCGGUAAUACGGAGGAUGCGAGCGUUAUCCGGAUUUAUUGGGUUUAAAGGGUGCGUAGCGGCGGUGCAAGUCAGCGGUAAAAGCCCGGGGCUCAACCCCGGCGAGCCGUUGAAACUGCAGUGCUAGAGAAGGCGAGAGGUACGCGGAAUGCGCAGUGUAGCGGUGAAAUGCUUAGAUAUUGCGCAGAACUCCGAUUGCGAAGGCAGCGUACUGGCGCCUGACUGACGCUGAGGCACGAAAGCGUGGGGAUCGAACAGGAUUAGAUACCC